RNAcentral lists this long non-coding RNA (993 nucleotides) under Ananas comosus (pineapple). RNAcentral's name for it is "long non-coding RNA (ACOM_LNC026546)". The record is from RNAcentral. Lineage: Eukaryota; Viridiplantae; Streptophyta; Magnoliopsida; Poales; Bromeliaceae.
UAUAUAUAUAUAUAUAUAUAUAUAUAAUUUUUAUUUAUAAAUAUAUAUUCAUUUAUUAUAUAUAUUAUUUUAUUUUUAUAUAUAAAUAUUUAUAUAAUAUUUUAUUUAUAAAUUUAUAAUUAUUUAUUACUAUUUUUAAAUAUAUAAAUUUUAUGUAUUAUUAAUAUAUGUUUAUUAUUAAUAUAUGAAUAUAUUUAAUCUAUAUAUAAAAAUUAUAAUAAUAAUAUAUAUAGUAUAUUAAUUAUUAUAUAUUUAAAAUAUAACCGAAUUUUUGAUUCCGAAUUUUUAAUUGGUGAACGUAUAAUAUCCGUAUAAAUCACGUAUCCGAAUAAUUACCAAAUUCGUCUUUUAGCCAUAUUUUUUAACGAAUCUAAAAAUUAAAAGACGAAUUUUAUCCGAAUUAUACCUGUAUCGAAUUUUUGCCUAAUCCGAAUUAACUAACUAUGCAAGAAAGUAUAGAAAUAGAUCCCUAAAUGCUUUUAUUCCAACUCCAUUUUAUCUAAUAGCAUCAUAUAGACCUCAAUACCAAACUAAGUCUUACUAAUUUGAAGACCAAAGUGUAAGCAAUUUGAUCACAAUAUUUGUUUAAAAAAAAAAAUUUAGAACAAUUAUCACGGGUCUUACUAAUUUGAAGACCAAAAGCGUAAUUAGUCCAAAUAAAGAUAGAGUUAAAUAUCGAUUGGUUUUGUUCAAUUAGUAAUUUUAUUCAAGAAAAAAUAUAUUAAACUAUCUAACAAAUUUUAUAAUGCCUAAUUGUUAAAAUUAAAAGUCGACCAAUUAUAUUUUGGAUAUUUCAAAAAUUGUAGAUGUAAAAUUGAUCACUUAUCAGAUUAUAAUAUAAUAUUAAAAAUUGAUAUUAAAAUCAAAGUAAAAUCGUAUAAAAUUUGUCUAAACUAUGAAUCAAUUUGAAUUAUCUAUUCAACUUUUUAAAUUUUUAUUUUUACUAUAAAAUCAUUCUAUAUGUUCGAUUUUAAAAUUCACGUAUAAAAAAUC